This 496-nucleotide ribosomal RNA is filed under the name uncultured bacterium. RNAcentral describes it as "partial 16S ribosomal RNA". It matches the Rfam family "Bacterial small subunit ribosomal RNA", at positions 28 to 507 of the family's 1533-position model. The record is from RNAcentral.
GAUGAACGCUGGCGGCGUGCCUAAUACAUGCAAGUCGAGCGAACAGACGAGGAGCUUGCUCCUCUGACGUUAGCGGCGGACGGGUGAGUAACACGUGGAUACCUACCUAUAAGACUGGGAUAACUUCGGGAAACCGGAGCUAAUACCGGAUAAUAUAUUGAACCGCAUGGUUCAAUAGUGAAAGACGGUUUUGCUGUCACUUAUAAAUGGAUCCGCGCCGCAUUAGCUAGUUGGUAAGGUAACGGCUUACCAAGGCAACGAUGCGUAGCCGACCUGAGAGGGUGAUCGGCCACACUGGAACUGAGACACGGUCCAGACUCCUACGGGAGGCAGCAGUAGGGAAUCUUCCGCAAUGGGCGAAAGCCUGACGGAGCAACGCCGCGUGAGUGAUGAAGGUCUUCGGAUCGUAAAACUCUGUUAUUAGGGAAGAACAAAUGUGUAAGUAACUAUGCACGUCUUGACGGUACCUAAUCAGAAAGCCACGGCUAACUACGUG